Molecule: long non-coding RNA, 1681 nt
Organism: Solanum pennellii
Lineage: Eukaryota; Viridiplantae; Streptophyta; Magnoliopsida; Solanales; Solanaceae
Exons: 2
Source: RefSeq, a predicted model, not a curated record
CAUACUAAAAGCAAAAAUGGUAUGGUCAUGUUAAAAAUUAACCUUGAGAAGGCCUUUGAUCGACUCGAAUGGUCCUUCGUCCACCGUGUUUUACUUUACUUCAAGUUUCCUCCAAAAAUUUGCAAACUCAUUAUGAGUUGUAUUACCACCUCUAGCAUCACUGUCUUAGUUAACGGUAAGCAAACCCCUUACUUCUCUCCCUCUAGGGGAACAAGGCAAGGGGACCCUAUGUCCCCAUACAUCUUCAUAAUGUGUAUGGAACUUCUUUCUGCCUAUAUCAACUACCAGGUGGAUCUUCUCCAGUGGGAUCCGAUCCAACUCUCAAUUCAUGGACCCCUUUUCUUCCACUUAUUUUUUUGCAGAUGACCUAACUUUGAUUACAAAAGGAACCUCCAAAUCCUUACAAACUAUUUCUAGAUGCUUGAAUGACUUUUGCGUUCUUUUUUAUCAAAAAAUAAAUCACACCAAAUCUAAAGUUAUUUACUCUCUUCACUGCAAAGACAUUGUGCAAGAUCUUGUCAAAAACCUAUUGAGUAUAACUCCUUCUCAAUUUGGAAAAUACCUUGGCUUCCCUAUUCUUCCUCAGAAGCCUACACCCAAGGAUUUCCAAUACAUUAUUGAUAACAGGAAGAAAAAGCUCUCCAGCUGGAAAACUCAAUUCAUGACGAUAGUUGAUCGCGUUAGACUAGCUAAGACUACCCUCAACGCCAUCCCGGCUUAUACCAAGCAAUAUUUUCUACUUCCAACGAAGAUCUGCCUCACUAUAGAUAAAAUAUAGAUAUUUUAUCUGGGGGUCCUCUAUCCAUAAACGAAAGAUUCAUUAUGUUGCGUGGGAUAAUAUCACAUCUGCAAAAGAAAAUGGUGGUCUUGGACUGCAAAGCGCUAAAACUAAGAACAAAAUCCUUCUUACAAGCCUUGCACGGAGAAUUCUCACUACCAGCAAGUCCCUGUGGACAAAAACCCUUACCCAAAAAUACAAACACAGAGCCUACUCCAAUUUCCAAUCUAUCAUUUGGAAGAACAUUAUAUUCUUCAGGGAAGCGAACCGGUUGGUCCCCUAAGUCUGGCCUAUCCAUCAAUCUCUGGCAUCAUCGCUGGAUUUCCAAUACUCCUCCCCUUAGAAAUAUGCUUCAUGGUCCUCUUAUGAAAGGAGAAUAUCACCUCAAGCUCUCUAACGGGCUCCGCUUGGGAUUGGUCGAAACUCUCUUUUAAACUACCUCCUGAUUUUUUUUCUAAGGCCUCAAAAAUUAGCUUCACUAAGGAAAUUGGAGACUCCGACAUCCCUUAUUGGAUUCAUACCACCAGCGGUAUCUUUUCUACCCAAUUGGUUAAUGUUGAGGAGGUUGGGGAAUCGAAUGGUCCGUCAUAACUUUCGGGAGGGGUACAAAGUAGCAGACUUUGUGUGCAAGAUAGAUUCUCAGCUAACAAUGACCCCUCAAUCAUAUAUCCCACAUACUCCGCCUGAAGCUGUAAUGGAACUUCUCAAAGCAGAUCAAGAAGGAGUUCUAACUACUAAGCAAAUAUUUAGGUCAUCCUAUAAUAAGUUAGCUAGUUACGGGAACUUAUCUGUAAUCACUAGCUAUAAUAGUAAUCUUGUACUGUUUUAACUAUAUAUUAAUAUAUCCUUUCUACCCAAAAAAAAUGAAAUUCUUCUAUCAAUUAAGACAAUGCUUUUAUACAA